Molecule: long non-coding RNA, 1119 nt
Organism: Danaus plexippus (monarch butterfly)
Lineage: Eukaryota; Metazoa; Arthropoda; Insecta; Lepidoptera; Nymphalidae
Exons: 3
Source: RefSeq, a predicted model, not a curated record
ACUCGGUAUAUCCUGUCCUGGGCCUGUUCCUCCAGCUGCGGGUUCCAGUGAGGGUCCAGCAGGAGAAGGUGGUUUGCCCCACACAGGUUGAGACCCACACCGCCCGCACACAGCGACAACAACAUCACCUGGUCCAUGUCGUCUCCGCGUCCCCACCUUCUGGUACACGUUCAUCUCGUCCUUGUGCAGCGUGACGUCCACGUGGUGCGCGCUCCGCUCCGGCAGACAGGUGAGUUGGCCUCUCUCCUGCAGCAGCUGCUUGGUCCUCCUCAGCAUGAUGCACCUCAUGAUGGUGCUCAGUCGUUCUUGGCCGCCGAGAGAUUUGUUAUCGAUCCACUUUUUCCACAUCUGAAAAUCGAUAUUUUUCCAACUGAUCAAUGCUUGGGUCGGACUGUUUAAUUUAACCUUACUUUGUGCAUUUCAAACAGUUAUUCAUUACAAUUAAUAUUUAUAAAAAUUAAAAUAAUUACAAUAUAAAUUAGUUCUUAUUACAUGAACUUUGCUGUCGACGAAGUUCUAGUUACAAAUGCCUUCAAGCAUAUAAAAGUUGGCAGGAACAGACAGACCAAAAUAAAAUAUAAACGUUAUGUUAAUGUGAAUAGCGGACAUCGAUUAUUUGAUUUAUAUACAGCUAAUGGAUCGUGCCACGGACCGCGAGGUCGUCGAAGGGUGUACAUUUGAGGAACUUCAGCAAGGCGAACAGGUCCAGGUCCUUGUUAUGUAGCGGGGUCCCGGUCAACGCCCAGCGAGCCCAGGAGGACAGGCUGCACACGCCCAGCGACGUCGACGACUUGUGGUUACGGACCACGUGCGCCUCGUCCAGGAUGACGCGGCGCCAGCGGACGCGGGUCAACACCCCGCCCUGGGGACAGAUGCCUCGAUGUUGUAGGUGGUGAUAACGAGGUCGUAGCUGGCGAGGCGGUGGGGCUGCGUGGCGCGGGCGGCUCCGUGGUGGUGACACACGGACACGGCGUGCGGCCGGCAGUGCUUCGCCACCUCGCCCGCCCACUGCUGCAUCAGCGACGCCGGACACACCACCAGCGUGCCGCCGCGAGCCACUGGGAACAGCCAUGUGCAAACCCGUGUAAGCCGCGUGUAAAAUAAACGUUUGAUAGUUAA